GCUGUCGUUCAGUGGUAGUACAUCUGCUUUGCAUGCAGAAGGUCCCAGAUUCAAUCCCUGGCAUCUCCA
This is a non-coding RNA of Podarcis lilfordi (Lilford's wall lizard), 69 nucleotides long. NCBI's taxonomy places the organism in Eukaryota, Metazoa, Chordata, Lepidosauria, Squamata, Lacertidae. The record is from the annotation of a GenBank genome assembly.